GACGAACGCUGGCGGCGUGCUUAACACAUGCAAGUCGAACGGAAAGGCCUUUUCGGCGGUACUCGAGUGGCGAACGGGUGGGUAACACGUGGGUGAUCUGCCCUGCACUCUGGGAUAAGCCUGGGAAACUGGGUCUAAUACCGGAUAGGACCGCACUUUAGUGUGUGUGGUGGAAAGUUUUUUCGGUGUAGGAUGAGCCCGCGGCCUAUCAGCUUGUUGGUGGGGUAAUGGCCUACCAAGGCGGCGACGGGUAGCCGGACUGAGAGGUUGGUCGGCCACAUUGGGACUGAGAUGCGGCCCAGACUCCUACGGGAGGCAGCAGUGGGGAAGAUUGCACAAGGGGCGCAAGCCUGAUGCAGCGACGCCGCGUGGGGGAGGACGGCCUUCGGGUUGUAAACUCCUUUCGCCAGGGACGAAGCGUUUUGUGACGGUACCUGGAGAAGAAGCACCGGCUAACUACGUG
RNAcentral lists this ribosomal RNA (463 nucleotides) under uncultured bacterium. RNAcentral's name for it is "partial 16S ribosomal RNA". It matches the Rfam family "Bacterial small subunit ribosomal RNA", at positions 28 to 507 of the family's 1533-position model. The record is from RNAcentral.